This is a long non-coding RNA of Varroa destructor (honeybee mite), 453 nucleotides long. RefSeq lists it as uncharacterized. Lineage: Eukaryota; Metazoa; Arthropoda; Arachnida; Mesostigmata; Varroidae. The record is from RefSeq and is a predicted model, not a curated record.
UAAGCUGAAUCAACAGAUAUGCUAUUGCAAUCGCUCUGCCCUACCUAACCCUCUACUUUUCUGUAACUACUUAGCUUAUCCCAAUAUAUUCGCCAGGGGACUUCCCUAGACUUUAAAUGGGGUCGACUUUAAAAUUGUUUCACUCGUACGAUGUCGGCUAUGAUUACGGGGUUUUUUUUUUAAUCAAUGUGGACUCUGCUUCUGAUACACGUAUGAAUAGAGCCAACUGAGGUUUAAAGCAGCCGUCAGUGUAAUAUCACGCAUCCGUUUACUGCGUCAGCGUUGGAAGACGAACUGUGACAGGCAACAAAAAUAGAAGAUGCCACGGUAGCAAUACAUGAGGACUCAUUCAUUUCAAUAGACGCCGACGGUGCCGACCACGUUCACAGUAUAAGAAAAAAGCCUGAACUUGCUACUUGUGCCUACUCCAGAUGGCGACAGGCUGCACAACAC